GGGGGCAUAGCUCAGUUGGGAGAGCAGCAGACUGAAGGUUAACCGGAUUCUGAAGGUCCCGCGUUCAAUCCGCGGUGCCCCCA
RNAcentral lists this transfer RNA (83 nucleotides) under Sphagnurus paluster. RNAcentral's name for it is "tRNA-Phe". Lineage: Eukaryota; Fungi; Basidiomycota; Agaricomycetes; Agaricales; Lyophyllaceae. The record is from RNAcentral.